RNAcentral lists this transfer RNA (78 nucleotides) under compost metagenome. RNAcentral describes it as "tRNA-Trp". It matches the Rfam family "tRNA". Rfam says of the family: Transfer RNA (tRNA) molecules are approximately 80 nucleotides in length. The record is from RNAcentral.
GUCGGUGUAGCUUAGCCCGGUCUAAAGCGGCGGUCUCCAAAACCGCGAUCGUUGGUUCAAAUCCAGCCACCCUCGCCA